RNAcentral lists this ribosomal RNA (326 nucleotides) under uncultured eukaryote. RNAcentral's name for it is "partial 18S ribosomal RNA". It matches the Rfam family "Eukaryotic small subunit ribosomal RNA", at positions 1470 to 1796 of the family's 1831-position model. The record is from RNAcentral.
CCCUUAGAUGUCCUGGGCCGCACGCGCGCUACACUGAUGCAUGCAACGAGUUUAUAACCUUGGCCUGAAAGGUCUGGGUAAUCUUUUGAACGUGCAUCGUGAUAGGGAUAGAUUAUUGCAAUUGUUAAUCUUGAACGAGGAAUUCCUAGUAAACGCGAGUCAUCAGCUCGCAUUGAUUACGUCCCUGCCCUUUGUACACACCGCCCGUCGCACCUACCGAUUGAAUGCUCAGGUGAGCCAUUCGGACUUUCAUCAUGCUGGUUUCCAGUUUUGAUGAAGGAAAGUCUUGCGAACCUUAUCAUUUAGAGGAAGGAGAAGUCGUAACA